GAGGGUGUAGCUUAGUGGUAGAGCAUGUGCUUAGCAUGCAAAGGUCCUGGGUUCAUUGCCUGGUACCUCCA
This 71-nucleotide transfer RNA is filed under the name Camelus bactrianus (Bactrian camel). It matches the Rfam family "tRNA". From Rfam's summary of the family: Transfer RNA (tRNA) molecules are approximately 80 nucleotides in length. RNAcentral also lists the same sequence under 2 other names. The record is from Rfam by way of RNAcentral. Lineage: Eukaryota; Metazoa; Chordata; Mammalia; Artiodactyla; Camelidae.